Molecule: long non-coding RNA, 325 nt
Organism: Pocillopora damicornis (cauliflower coral)
Lineage: Eukaryota; Metazoa; Cnidaria; Anthozoa; Scleractinia; Pocilloporidae
Source: RefSeq, a predicted model, not a curated record
UCCUAGCAUUUCCAGCACGCGGUGACUGCGGGACACAAAUUUACACCAAAUGGGCUACAUGUGUGAAAACAUCAUGUCCUCCCGAUUCCUUGCCUCUUCAGGUCAAUGGUAAAACUUGUCCACCUGACCACGUUUGCUGCCUUAUGCGACCCAAAAUAAAUUUCAAGACGGUUGAAUCACAUUGUGACCAUUAAUCCGAUGAAGGAAAAGGCAAAUUCUUCGUUCUUAAUGAGACAUUUGUUUCAGUAAUUACAGCAUAAUGCGUGUAACUUCGAUCUCCUGAUUUCUCUAAAUAAAAUGGGAAUAAAAUCGCCUUUGACAGGAA